This 82-nucleotide non-coding RNA is filed under the name Pseudopedinella elastica. Lineage: Eukaryota; Dictyochophyceae; Pedinellales. The record is from RNAcentral.
UUCAUGCCAAAAGAAAGAUAAAGCAAGGUAUGCAAAAACAAGGGAAAAAAGUAAGAAUAGGAAUAAUUUUACGUUCGUGCUU